CGGAUGGUGCAAGCGUUAUCCGGAUUCACUGGGUUUAAAGGGUGUGUAGGCGGGCUAUUAAGUCAGUGGUGAAAUCUCCGGGCUCAACCCGGAAACUGCCAUUGAUACUAUUAGUCUUGAAUUCUGUUGAGGUAGGCGGAAUAUAUCAUGUAGCGGUGAAAUGCUUAGAUAUGAUAUAGAACACCGAUUGCGAAGGCAGCUUACUAAACAGACAUUGACGCUGAGGCACGAAAGCGUGGGGAUCAAACAGGAUUAGAUACCCUGGUAGUCCACGCCCUAAACGAUGAUUACUCGACAUACGCGAUAUUACUGUGUGUGUCUGAGCGAAAGCAUUAAGUAAUCCACCUGGGAAGUACGUCCGCAAGGAUG
RNAcentral lists this ribosomal RNA (369 nucleotides) under uncultured organism. RNAcentral describes it as "bacterial SSU rRNA". It matches the Rfam family "Bacterial small subunit ribosomal RNA", at positions 526 to 896 of the family's 1533-position model. The record is from RNAcentral.